This 418-nucleotide ribosomal RNA is filed under the name uncultured bacterium. RNAcentral's name for it is "bacterial SSU rRNA". It matches the Rfam family "Bacterial small subunit ribosomal RNA", at positions 338 to 795 of the family's 1533-position model. The record is from RNAcentral.
CCUACGGGGGGCAGCAGUGGGGAAUUUUCCGCAAUGGGCGAAAGCCUGACGGAGCAAUGCCGCGUGGAGGUAGAAGGCCCACGGGUCGUGAACUUCUUUUCCCGGAGAAGAAGCCCCGGCUAACUUCGUGCCAGCAGCCGCGGUAAUACGAAGGGGGCUAGCGUUGUUCGGAAUUACUGGGCGUAAAGCGCGCGUAGGCGGAUAGAUAAGUCAGAGGUGAAAUCCCGGGGCUCAACCCCGGAAUUGCCUUUGAUACUGUUUAUCUUGAGUGCAGAAGAGGUAAGUGGAAUUCCGAGUGUAGAGGUGAAAUUCGUAGAUAUUCGGAGGAACACCAGUGGCGAAGGCGGCUUACUGGUCUGCAACUGACGCUGAGGCGCGAAAGCGUGGGGAGCAAACAGGAUUAGAUACCCCAGUAGUC